UACGAGUGCCUCAAGCGUUAUCCGGAAUCAUUGGGCGUAAAGGGUGUGUAGGCGGCUUUGUUAGUCUCGCGUUAAAUUUCUUGGCUCAACCGAGAAGCUGCGUGGGAAACGGCAAGGCUAGAGGAUGGAAGGGGUCUCUGGAACUCAUGGUGUAGCGGUGAAAUGCGUUGAUAUCAUGGGGAACACCGAAAGCGAAGGCAAGAGACUGGUCCACUCCUGACGCUGAAACACGAAAGCGUGGGUCGCGAAUGGG
Molecule: ribosomal RNA, 253 nt
Filed under: uncultured bacterium
Lineage: Bacteria
Description: partial 16S ribosomal RNA
Rfam family: Bacterial small subunit ribosomal RNA
Source: RNAcentral